This 422-nucleotide ribosomal RNA is filed under the name uncultured Porphyromonadaceae bacterium. RNAcentral's name for it is "bacterial SSU rRNA". It matches the Rfam family "Bacterial small subunit ribosomal RNA", at positions 355 to 774 of the family's 1533-position model. Lineage: Bacteria; Pseudomonadati; Bacteroidota; Bacteroidia; Bacteroidales; Porphyromonadaceae. The record is from RNAcentral.
UGAGGAAUAUUGGUCAAUGGAGGAAACUCUGAACCAGCCAAGUCGCGUGAAGGAAGACGGUCCUAUGGAUUGUAAACUUCUUUAGUAGGUGAAUAGAAGCAUGUACGUGUACGUGUAGGCAUGUAACCUAAGAAUAAGUAUCGGCUAACUCCGUGCCAGCAGCCGCGGUAAUACGGAGGAUACGAGCGUUAUCCGGAUUUAUUGGGUUUAAAGGGUGCGUAGGUUGCUGAUUAAGUCAGCGGUGAAAAGCUGUGGCUCAACCAUAGUCUUGCCGUUGAAACUGGUUAGCUAGAGUACAGAUGCUGUGGGCGGAAUGCGUAGUGUAGCGGUGAAAUGCAUAGAUAUUACGCAGAACUCCGAUUGCGAAGGCAGCUCACAAAACUGUAACUGACACUGAUGCACGAAAGCGUGGGGAUCAAACA